GAUUCCCCUASUARCWGCGAGUGAAGAGGGAAGAGCUCAAAUUUAAAAUCUGGCGGUCUCUGGCUGUCCGAGUUGUAAAUUAGAGAAGUGUUAUCCGCUCAAGCCUGUGCAAAAGUCUCUUGGAAAAGGGCAUCAUAGAGGGUGACAAUCCCGUCUUUGGCACAGAUCACUUGCGCUUUUGUGAUGCGCUCUCGAUGAGUCGAGUUGUUUGGGAAUGCAGCUCUAAAUGGGUGGUAAAUUCCAUCUAAAGCUAAAUAUGGGCGAGAAACCGAUAGCGAACAAGUACCGUGAGGGAAAGAUGAAAAGCACUUUGAAAAGAGAGUCAAACAGUAUGUGAAAUUGUUGAAAGGGAAACGCUUGAAGUCAGUCGUAUCCUUCAGAAAUCAACCUGACCUUUGGCUGGGUGCAUUUUUUGUUGGAUGGGUCAGCAUCAAUUUUGAUCAUUGGAUAAAGGACUUGGGAAUGUGGCAUCUUUGGAUGUGUUAUAGCCUCUGUUUGUAUACAAUGAUUGGGAUUGAGGAACUCAGUGUGACUUUGGUUUGGAGGUAUUGCACCUCACACACGCACUUAGGAUGCUGGCAUAAUGGCUUUAAUCGACCCGUCUUGAAACACGGACCAAGGAGUCUAACAUGCAUGCGAGUGUUUGGGUGGAAAACUCAAGCGCGCAAUGAAAGUGAAAGUUGAGAACCCCUUUGGGGUGCAUCGACGCCCGGACUUGAUCUUUUGUGACGGACCUGCGGUAGAGCAUGUAUGUUGGGACCCGAAGAUGGUGAACUAUGCCUGAUAGGUGAAGUCAGAGGAACUCUGAUGGAAGCUCGUAGCGAUUCUGACGUGCAAUCGAUCGUCAAUUUGGGUAUAGGGCGAAAGACUAUCGACCAUCUAGUAGCU
This 888-nucleotide ribosomal RNA is filed under the name Hodophilus foetens. RNAcentral describes it as "LSU rRNA". It matches the Rfam family "Eukaryotic large subunit ribosomal RNA", at positions 73 to 952 of the family's 3401-position model. The record is from RNAcentral. Lineage: Eukaryota; Fungi; Basidiomycota; Agaricomycetes; Agaricales; Clavariaceae.